CACCCUUCUACCACUUAUGAUACAAGAAAUCAGGGAUGGGUCCACCCAUGAUGGCUGAUGGGGCCCAAAAGAAUAGUUGGGUCGGCCAAUUUGUUCCUCUCCGUCUCUCUCAGUUUGGUGAAGUAUUGCCUGCACUGCAUGCAUGAUGUGACCGUACACACAGUCAGUCAACACAAGGACAGCUAAUUUUUAUGGGCAAGCAUGUAUUUUUGUGUACGAUUAUAAAAACCACCGAUCAUGAUNNNNNNNNNNNNNNNNNNNNAUAUAUAUAUAUAUAUAUAUAUAUGAUUAUAUUGAUGCAUAUAAUAUAGAUAAUAAUUUGCUCUUAAACUGACCUCUCCAGCAAACUAAUUCAGGAUAUUAUGGUAGAAUUUUAUCUCGAAAUCGAAUUGACUGGAUGGUGACGGC
Molecule: long non-coding RNA, 408 nt
Filed under: Elaeis guineensis (African oil palm)
Lineage: Eukaryota; Viridiplantae; Streptophyta; Magnoliopsida; Arecales; Arecaceae
Description: long non-coding RNA (EGUI_LNC014730)
Source: RNAcentral